GAUGAACGCUGGCGGCGUGCCUAAUACAUGCAAGUCGAGCGAACAGACGAGGAGCUUGCUCCUCUGAUGUUAGCGGCGGACGGGUGAGUAACACGUGGAUAACCUACCUAUAAGACUGGGAUAACUUCGGGAAACCGGAGCUAAUACCGGAUAAUAUAUUGAACCGCAUGGUUCAAUAGUGAAAGACGGUUUUGCUGUCACUUAUAGAUGGAUCCGCGCCGCAUUAGCUAGUUGGUAAGGUAACGGCUUACCAAGGCAACGAUGCAUAGCCGACCUGAGAGGGUGAUCGGCCACACUGGAACUGAGACACGGUCCAGACUCCUACGGGAGGCAGCAGUAGGGAAUCUUCCGCAAUGGGCGAAAGCCUGACGGAGCAACGCCGCGUGAGUGAUGAAGGUCUUCGGAUCGUAAAACUCUGUUAUUAGGGAAGAACAAAUGUGUAAGUAACUAUGCACGUCUUGACGGUACCUAAUCAGAAAGCCACGGCUAACUACGUG
RNAcentral lists this ribosomal RNA (497 nucleotides) under uncultured bacterium. RNAcentral describes it as "partial 16S ribosomal RNA". It matches the Rfam family "Bacterial small subunit ribosomal RNA", at positions 28 to 507 of the family's 1533-position model. The record is from RNAcentral.